RNAcentral lists this transfer RNA (75 nucleotides) under Schistocerca americana (American grasshopper). Its description in RNAcentral is "tRNA-Thr". It matches the Rfam family "tRNA". From Rfam's summary of the family: Transfer RNA (tRNA) molecules are approximately 80 nucleotides in length. Their secondary structure includes four short double-helical elements and three loops (D, anti-codon, and T loops). Lineage: Eukaryota; Metazoa; Arthropoda; Insecta; Orthoptera; Acrididae. The record is from RNAcentral.
GCCCUCGGUGGCUCAGAUGGAUAGAGCUUCUGCCAUGUAAGCAGAAGAUCCCGGGUUCGAGUCCCGGUCGGGGCA